UACGUAGGGUGCAGGCGUUAAUCGGAAUUACUGGGCGUAAAGCGUGCGUAGGUGGUUCGUUAAGUCUGAUGUGAAAGCCCUGGGCUCAACCUGGGAAUGGCAUUGGAUACUGGCGGGCUAGAGUGCGGUAGAGGGCAGUGGAAUUCCCGGUGUAGCAGUGAAAUGCGUAGAGAUCGGGAGGAACAUCUGUGGCGAAGGCGACUGCCUGGACCAGCACUGACACUGAGGCACGAAAGCGUGGGGAGCAAACAGG
RNAcentral lists this ribosomal RNA (253 nucleotides) under uncultured bacterium. RNAcentral's name for it is "partial 16S ribosomal RNA". It matches the Rfam family "Bacterial small subunit ribosomal RNA", at positions 524 to 776 of the family's 1533-position model. The record is from RNAcentral.